AUUCUGCCCAAGCGGGGAAGGAUGAGAAGCUUCGACUAAGGUUCGAUUCGAGCGAAAGCGAGAGAACGUUGCCACAGGCAACGGCCCGAAGGGCGAAGCGCGCAGCGCUGAGUAAUCCUUCCCCCACCACCA
RNAcentral lists this small RNA (132 nucleotides) under Escherichia coli. RNAcentral describes it as "RtT sRNA". It matches the Rfam family "RtT RNA". From Rfam's summary of the family: This family represents a bacterial cis-regulatory element known as RtT RNA. The exact function of RtT is unknown although it is thought that it may be involved in changing the cellular response in relation to amino acid starvation. Lineage: Bacteria; Pseudomonadati; Pseudomonadota; Gammaproteobacteria; Enterobacterales; Enterobacteriaceae. The record is from RNAcentral.